AUGCAAGUCGAGCGGGGGAAGGUAGCUUGCUACCGGACCUAGCGGCGGACGGGUGAGUAAUGCUUAGGAAUCUGCCUAUUAGUGGGGGACAACAUCUCGAAAGGGAUGCUAAUACCGCAUACGUCCUACGGGAGAAAGCAGGGGAUCUUCGGACCUUGCGCUAAUAGAUGAGCCUAAGUCGGAUUAGCUAGUUGGUGGGGUAAAGGCCUACCAAGGCGACGAUCUGUAGCGGGUCUGAGAGGAUGAUCCGCCACACUGGGACUGAGACGCGGCCCAGACUCCUACGGGAGGCAGCAGUGGGGAAUAUUGGACAAUGGGGGGAACCCUGAUCCAGCCAUGCCGCGUGUGUGAAGAAGGCCUUAUGGUUGUAAAGCACUUUAAGCGAGGAGGAGGCUACUUUAGUUAAUACCUAGAGAUAGUGGACGUUACUCGCAGAAUAAGCACCGGCUAACUCUGUGCCAGCAGCCGCGGUAAUACAGAGGGUGCGAGCGUUAAUCGGAUUUACUGGGCGUAAAGCGUGCGUAGGCGGCUUAUUAAGUCGGAUGUGAAAUCCCCGAGCUUAACUUGGGAAUUGCAUUCGAUACUGGUGAGCUAGAGUAUGGGAGA
This 606-nucleotide ribosomal RNA is filed under the name Acinetobacter baumannii OIFC083. Its description in RNAcentral is "bacterial SSU rRNA". It matches the Rfam family "Bacterial small subunit ribosomal RNA", at positions 55 to 655 of the family's 1533-position model. The record is from RNAcentral. Lineage: Bacteria; Pseudomonadati; Pseudomonadota; Gammaproteobacteria; Moraxellales; Moraxellaceae.